This 347-nucleotide ribosomal RNA is filed under the name uncultured bacterium. Its description in RNAcentral is "partial 16S ribosomal RNA". It matches the Rfam family "Bacterial small subunit ribosomal RNA", at positions 338 to 682 of the family's 1533-position model. The record is from RNAcentral.
CCUACGGGAGGCAGCAGUGAGGAAUAUUGGUCAAUGGGCGCGAGCCUGAACCAGCCAAGUAGCGUGAAGGAUGACUGCCCUACGGGUUGUAAACUGCUUGUAUAAAGGAAUAAAACGAGGCACGUGUGCCGUUUUGUAUGUACUUUAUGAAUAAGGAUCGGCUAACUCCGUGCCAGCAGCCGCGGUAAUACGGAGGAUCCGAGCGUUAUCCGGAUUUAGUGGGGUUAACGGGAGCGUAGAUGGGUUGUUAAGUCAGUUGUGAAAGUUUGCGGCUCAACCGUAAAAUUGCAAUUGAUACUGGCAGCCUUGAGUACAGUUGCGGUAGGCGGACUUCUUGUUGUAGCGGU